RNAcentral lists this non-coding RNA (28 nucleotides) under Mus musculus (house mouse). The record is from RNAcentral. Lineage: Eukaryota; Metazoa; Chordata; Mammalia; Rodentia; Muridae.
UAACAUUGGCUUAUCCGGACAUCUCCCU